UGGGGAAUUUUGGACAAUGGGGGAAACCCUGAUCCAGCCAUGCCGCGUGCAGGAAGAAGGCCUUCGGGUUGUAAACUGCUUUUGUCAGGGAAGAAAAGCGAAGGGUUAAUACCCCUUUGUGCUGACGGUACCUGAAGAAUAAGCACCGGCUAACUACGUGCCAGCAGCCGCGGUAAUACGUAGGGUGCGAGCGUUAAUCGGAAUUACUGGGCGUAAAGCGUGCGCAGGCGGUCUUGUAAGACUGAUGUGAAAUCCCCGGGCUUAACCUGGGAAUGGCAUUGGUAACUGCAAGACUUGAGUGUGGCAGAGGGGGGUAGAAUUUUGCGUGUAGCAGUGAAAUGCGUAGAUAUGCAAAGGAAUACCGAUGGCGAAGGCAGCCCCCUGGGCCUGCACUGACGCU
Molecule: ribosomal RNA, 400 nt
Filed under: uncultured bacterium
Lineage: Bacteria
Description: bacterial SSU rRNA
Rfam family: Bacterial small subunit ribosomal RNA
Source: RNAcentral